AAGGUCGUCCUUCUACCAUUAUUCGCUUUUGCCUUUAGCCUAAUUCGUAUUUUCUCGUCAUCAAUAGUGGAGAAGAAAAUUCUAGAAGUUGCAACAAUUAUUUUGGAUGAAAAUCUAGCUGGGUUCGUCUUUCUUUAGCUCCAUAUAAGGUAUGUUCUCGUUUCUGUACAUGCAUGAAAAUAUAUCUACGUUUACAUAUCAUGGUUCAUGAGGUUGAAGGUCAUGAAUUUUCGUCGUUUCGAAGCUGGUGAGGAAUCAACUAUCAUCAUUCAUAGCCAACUUCAACAAUUUCAAAUCACUAUUUCACUCCAUUUUUCAUUCACUGUAGAAGAAAAUGAAAUUGCACUGGACG
Molecule: long non-coding RNA, 352 nt
Organism: Olea europaea var. sylvestris
Lineage: Eukaryota; Viridiplantae; Streptophyta; Magnoliopsida; Lamiales; Oleaceae
Exons: 2
Source: RefSeq, a predicted model, not a curated record